Molecule: transfer RNA, 100 nt
Organism: Moniliophthora roreri MCA 2997
Lineage: Eukaryota; Fungi; Basidiomycota; Agaricomycetes; Agaricales; Marasmiaceae
Rfam family: tRNA
About the family: Transfer RNA (tRNA) molecules are approximately 80 nucleotides in length. Their secondary structure includes four short double-helical elements and three loops (D, anti-codon, and T loops). Further hydrogen bonds mediate the characteristic L-shaped molecular structure. tRNAs have two regions of fundamental functional importance: the anti-codon, which is responsible for specific mRNA codon recognition, and the 3' end, to which the tRNAs corresponding amino acid is attached (by aminoacyl-tRNA synthetases). tRNAs cope with the degeneracy of the genetic code in two manners: having more than one tRNA (with a specific anti-codon) for a particular amino acid; and 'wobble' base-pairing, i.e. permitting non-standard base-pairing at the 3rd anti-codon position.
Source: Rfam
GGGCGUUUAGCGCAGUGGUAGCGCGUAUGCUUUGCAAAUGUGAGCCAACGACUUGCAUUGAGUGUGUAUAAGGUCCAGGGUUCAAUCCCCUGAACGUCCA